UCUUGGAAGAAAAGAAAAGCCUCACUGGCUGAGCCUUCCUGAUUAGGAGCAGCUGGUUGGGUUUGGAGUGGUGGCUUUUUCCCCUCUCCCUGUGAAGUUUUUGUGCUGCAGCACUGUGAUAAAGGAGCUCACAUCAGGCUGGUGCUUGCUACCAGCUCAGGUGGGAAGGGAAGCAGGGAAUGUUUUGUGCUUCUCUGCUGAAGAGGGUCCACGUGGAGCAGCAUCCAGAUCCGGACUGACAGAGAUUAAGGCACAGAGGAAAAAGCUGAAACAAGCAUCCUUCAGCUGUUCCUGUGGAGAGCAAGGCAAGCACUGCUCUUCAGGAAGGGAGGAAAGCUGCACAGGAGGAUUUGUCCCCAUGUUCAGCUUGGUGGUUCCACAGAAUUGGGAAAUGUUGCAUAAACAGAGCCCUGCUCCUUCAGCUGUGCAUUGCAACUGCAAACAACCUGGUCCAGCAGCACUGGGACUUGGUGAAGUCACAAGCAUCUAAAAAAUAAUAUUAAAAGCUUGUCCCAGAAAUGCUCCCUGCCUUAGGUGGCUGAGAGCUGCCUCCCUGUCCUGUUCUUGCCCUUUUUACCUCGGUGGGAAUCUCGUGCUCUCAGCAGUGUCUGGAGCGAUUCACCUGGCUCCUGUUUGCUCCCAAGGAUGUGGGAGAUUUGCAGAACCAGGGCAAGUCCUGAGGUCAGACCUGGCUUUACCCUUCAUUUUCUAGCAGCUGCUUCGUUGUUUUCUUGAGGUUGCUGCUACCCCUUUAAAAACAAGCAUCCCAGGAAUUUUCUUUUGAAACAGGCUUCCCCUCUCCAAAUCCAAUUAUACUCUUUCAGCUGGGUCAUUUUCAGCCCCUGCCGCCUUUUUGGUUCUUUGGGUUUUUUACUGAAUUUAU
Cyanistes caeruleus (blue tit) is the source of this 883-nucleotide long non-coding RNA. RefSeq lists it as uncharacterized. Lineage: Eukaryota; Metazoa; Chordata; Aves; Passeriformes; Paridae. The record is from RefSeq and is a predicted model, not a curated record.